RNAcentral lists this unclassified non-coding RNA (328 nucleotides) under soil metagenome. Its description in RNAcentral is "partial contains 5.8S ribosomal RNA, internal transcribed spacer 2, and large subunit ribosomal RNA". The stretch from base 1 to 120 matches the Rfam family "5.8S ribosomal RNA", at positions 35 to 154 of the family's 154-position model. The record is from RNAcentral.
GAUGAAGAACGUAGUGAAAUGCGAUACGUAAUGUGAAUUGCAGAAUUCAGUGAAUCAUCGAAUCUUUGAACGCACAUUGCGCCCCUUGGUAUUCCGAGGGGCAUGCCUGUUCGAGCGUCAUUAUAACCCCUCAAGCUCAGCUUGGUGUUGGGGCCUGCCGCACGGGCAGCCCUUAAAAUCAGUGGCGGUGCCAUCUGGCUCUAAGCGUAGUAAUUCUUCUCGCUAUAGAGUCCCGGUGGAUGCUUGCCAUUAACCCCCAAUUUUCUAUGGUUGACCUCGGAUCAGGUAGGGAUACCCGCUGAACUUAAGCAUAUCAAUAAGCGGAGGA